GUUGGAUGUCUGAAAGCAUCAUUCUUUUUUUAUUUGAUGGUCUUAUAAAAUAUUUUGGAAUGUUAUGGUUAUAUAGUUACCAAAGCAGGUAACCAGUAAAUAACAGUGUAAAAAUUGGGUUGUUUACUUCCGGCGGUGGUUACUUUCUUAUAUGCAAUGAAAUGUAGUGUGAAAUUUUCACUGUAUCACUGGAAAGGAUUGAACUUUACACAUGCAAAGUAUUUCUUUGGUUGAAAUAAAGGUAAAUACUGUACAUUUUUUUUAAAAGUGUCAAUUUAACAAAGACUAAUAGCGAAAAAUCAAUGGUGG
RNAcentral lists this long non-coding RNA (309 nucleotides) under Mytilus galloprovincialis (Mediterranean mussel). The record is from RNAcentral. Lineage: Eukaryota; Metazoa; Mollusca; Bivalvia; Mytilida; Mytilidae.